Agrilus planipennis (emerald ash borer) is the source of this 714-nucleotide long non-coding RNA. RefSeq lists it as uncharacterized. The record is from RefSeq and is a predicted model, not a curated record. The transcript has 4 exons. Lineage: Eukaryota; Metazoa; Arthropoda; Insecta; Coleoptera; Buprestidae.
UUAUAAUUCUGUCAUUUUAUUUGCGUUUUGGUGCAUGUUUUGUUGUAUUUCGUAUGUUAUUUAUGUGACAGUGUAAUUAAUUAGUACUUUCUUUUAGGUGUUUAAUGCCUUCCGUACUUAAUAGUGUAAUUAAUACGUUGUUUUGUUCAUUUCUGCAGAUUGUUCAACAAAUGGGAAAGAAUUAAAGUUCAGUUUGGUCCUACUGAAACAACCAAUGUCUACAUGGGCAUGAUCUUUCCUGGAUUGUUCUUUUGAUUAGCUGUUUACAUCUUUGCCUUGCAACAUUAUGAAGUUAAUUUUCUGCGAUGGUAUUCCUGCCGUAUUUGUUUUGAUUUUUACACCUGUAAACUUUGGAACGUUACGUUCUACAAUUAAUUAAGAUUAGUCAACAAUUAAGAGAGAUUUGAACUUAUAUCCUUUGCUUACUGAAAAGAUAAGUCAAAUCCUAUGGUGUUUUAGCUGUUAACCUUUCAUCUGGAAGGUUCUUGUAGUUAAUUAAGGAACAUCAUAAGAACUCCGGAUACCAUUAAAUUAUGAAAUUAUCAAGCAUUGGUUGUAUUAGUAAUUAUUUGACCCAGAAAGUAGCUAUGCCCAUGGUUCUAAAGAAAGCAUGAAAGUGCCUUUUUUUUAUUGGGAAUGAAGACAGUGUGCUAAAAAGGAUUUAUGACAAUGAACUGAUUGUUGUCCCAUAAAUAAGAAGGAAUUGCAGUUAAU